CGUGUAGGCGGCCCGGUAAGUCCGCUGUGAAAGUCGGGGGCUCAACCCCUCGAAUGCCGGUGGAUACUGUCGGGCUAGAGUACGGAAGAGGCGAGUGGAAUUCCUGGUGUAGCGGUGAAAUGCGCAGAUAUCAGGAGGAACACCAAUUGCGAAGGCAGCUCGCUGGGACGUUACUGACGCUGAGACGCGAAAGCGUGGGAGCAAACA
This 207-nucleotide ribosomal RNA is filed under the name uncultured bacterium. RNAcentral describes it as "partial 16S ribosomal RNA". It matches the Rfam family "Bacterial small subunit ribosomal RNA", at positions 568 to 774 of the family's 1533-position model. The record is from RNAcentral.